GACGAACGCUGGCGGCGUGCUUAACACAUGCAAGUCGAACGGAAAGGCCCUGCUUUUGUGGGGUGCUCGAGUGGCGAACGGGUGAGUAACACGUGAGUAACCUGCCCUUGACUUUGGGAUAACUUCAGGAAACUGGGGCUAAUACCGGAUAGGAGCUCCUGCUGCAUGGUGGGGGUUGGAAAGUUUCGGCGGUUGGGGAUGGACUCGCGGCUUAUCAGCUUGUUGGUGGGGUAGUGGCUUGCCAAGGCUUUGACGGGUAGCCGGCCUGAGAGGGUGACCGGCCACAUUGGGACUGAGAUACGGCCCAGACUCCUACGGGAGGCAGCGGUGGGGAAUAUUGCACAAUGGGCGGAAGCCUGAUGCAGCAACGCCGCGUGCGGGAUGACGGCCUUCGGGUUGUAAACCGCUUUCGCCUGUGACGAAGCGUGAGUGACGGUAAUGGGUAAAGAAGCACCGGCUAACUACGUG
Molecule: ribosomal RNA, 468 nt
Filed under: uncultured bacterium
Lineage: Bacteria
Description: partial 16S ribosomal RNA
Rfam family: Bacterial small subunit ribosomal RNA
Source: RNAcentral